RNAcentral lists this ribosomal RNA (1454 nucleotides) under Streptomyces sp. WuXin. Its description in RNAcentral is "bacterial SSU rRNA". It matches the Rfam family "Bacterial small subunit ribosomal RNA". Lineage: Bacteria; Bacillati; Actinomycetota; Actinomycetes; Kitasatosporales; Streptomycetaceae. The record is from RNAcentral.
GACGCUGGCGGCGUGCUUAACACAUGCAAGUCGAACGAUGAACCCACUUCGGUGGGGGAUUAGUGGCGAACGGGUGAGUAACACGUGGGCAAUCUGCCCUGCACUCGGGGACAAGCCCUGGAAACGGGGUCUAAUACCGGAUACGACCACUUCAGGCAUCUGAUGGUGGUGGAAAGCUCCGGCGGUGCAGGAUGAGCCCGCGGCCUAUCAGCUAGUUGGGGAGGUAACGGCUCACCAAGGCGACAACGGGUAGCCGGCCUGAAAGGGCGACCGGCCACACUGGGACUGAAACACGGCCCAAACUCCUACGGGAGGCAGCAGGGGGGAAUAUUGCACAAUGGGCGAAAGCCUGAUGCAGCGACCCCGCGUGAGGGAUGACGGCCUUCGGGUUGUAAACCUCUUUCAGCAGGGAAAAAGCGAAAGUGACGGUACCUGCAGAAGAAGCGCCGGCUAACUACGUGCCAGCAGCCGCGGUAAUACGUAGGGAGCAAGCGUGGUCAGAAAUUAUUGGGCAUAAAGAGCUCGUAGGCGGCCUGUCACGUCGGAUGUGAAAGCCCUGGGGAAUUAACCCCGGGUCUGCAUUCGAUACGGGCAGGCUAGAGUUCGGUAGGGGAGAUCGGAAUUCCUGGUGUAGCGGUGAAAUGCGCAGAUAUCAGGAGGAACACCGGUGGAGAAGGCGGAUCUCUGGGCCGAUACUGACGCUGAGGAGCGAAAGCGUGGGGAGCGAACAGGAUUAGAUACCCUGGUAGUCCACGCCGUAAACGUUGGGAACUAGGUGUGGGCGACAUUCCACGUCGUCCGUGCCGCAGCUAACGCAUUAAGUUCCCCGCCUGGGGAGUACGGCCGCAAGGCUAAAACUCAAAGGAAUUGACGGGGGCCCGCACAAGCGGCGGAGCAUGUGGCUUAAUUCGACGCAACGCGAAAAAUCCUUACCAACGCUUGACAUACACCGGAAACACCCAGAGAUGGGUGCCCCCUUGUGAUCGGUGUACAGUUGCUGCAUGGCUGUCGUCAGCUCGUGUCGUGAGAUGUUGGGUUAAGUCCCGCAACGAGCGCAACCACUUGUCCCAUGUUGCCAGCACGUCCCUUGUGGUGCUGGGGACUCACGGGAGACCGCCGGGGUCAACUCGGAGGAAGGUGGCGACGACGUCAAGUCAUCAUGCCCCUUAUGUCUUGGGCUGCACACGUGCUACAAUGGCCGGUACAAAGAGCUGGGAUACCGCAAGGUGGAGGGAAUUUCAAAAAGCCGGUCUCAGUUCGGAUUGGGGUCUGCAACUCGACCCCAUGAAGUAGGAGUCGAUAGUUAUUGCAGAUCAGCAUUGAUGCGGCGAAUACGUUCCCGGGCCUCGUACACCCCGCCCGCCACCUCACCAAAGUCGGUAACACCCGAAGCCGGUGGCCCAAUCCCCUUGUGGGAGGGAGCUGUCGAAGGUGGGACUGGCGACUGGACGAAG